AUGCAGAGAGCAAAUGAUGAGAUAUAUGGUUCGUGGGGUAGUAGCUUCCGGUACCUAUUAAAUUUCAAAUCAGAGGUAAAACUGAGAUCUCCUGGAACCAUUGUUGAGGCCGACACUAAACUAAAGGACGGUAAUGUUUACUUUCAUAGAUUCUUUAUGGCACUUAAGCCUUCUGUAGGUGGGUCACGCUGGAUGUAG
RNAcentral lists this ribosomal RNA (198 nucleotides) under Triticum aestivum (bread wheat). Its description in RNAcentral is "partial small subunit ribosomal RNA". The record is from RNAcentral. Lineage: Eukaryota; Viridiplantae; Streptophyta; Magnoliopsida; Poales; Poaceae.